CGCGGCCUAUCAGCUUGUUGGUGAGGUAACGGCUCACCAAGGCAACGACGGGUAGCUGGUCUGAGAGGAUGAUCAGCCACACUGGAACUGAGACACGGUCCAGACUCCUACGGGAGGCAGCAGUAGGGAAUCUUGCGCAAUGGGCGAAAGCCUGACGCAGCAACACCGCGUGAGGGAUGACGGCCUUCGGGUUGUAAACCUCUUUCAGGAGGGACGAAAAUGACGGUACCUCCAGAAGAAGCCCCGGCCAACUACGUGCCAGCAGCCGCGGUAAUACGUAGGGGGCGAGCGUUGUCCGGAAUCAUUGGGCGUAAAGAGCUCGUAGGCGGCUCAGUAAGUCGAUCGUGAAAGACCGGGGCUCAACCCCGGGGCGUCGGUCGAUACUGCU
Molecule: ribosomal RNA, 388 nt
Filed under: uncultured bacterium
Lineage: Bacteria
Description: bacterial SSU rRNA
Rfam family: Bacterial small subunit ribosomal RNA
Source: RNAcentral